CCAAGGAGUCUAACAUGUGUGCGAGUCAAUGGGUCUCGAACAAGCCCAAAGGCGCAAUGAAAGCAAAGGCCGGACACGACGCCGGCUGAGUUGGGAUCCCUUCGUCUUCGCACGAGGGGCGCACCAACGACCCGUCCUAUCCUAUUUAUAGGUUGGGCGGAGUCUGAGCAUACACGUUGGGACCCGAAAGAUGGUGAACUAUGCCCAGGCAGGACGAGGUCAGAGGAAACUCUGGUGGAGGUCCGUAGCGGUUCUGACGUGCAAAUCGAUCGUCAGAUCCGGGUAUAGGGGCGAAAGGCUAAUCGAACCAUC
RNAcentral lists this ribosomal RNA (312 nucleotides) under Exechocentrus lancearius. Its description in RNAcentral is "partial large subunit ribosomal RNA". It matches the Rfam family "Eukaryotic large subunit ribosomal RNA", at positions 666 to 944 of the family's 3401-position model. Lineage: Eukaryota; Metazoa; Arthropoda; Arachnida; Araneae; Araneidae. The record is from RNAcentral.